Molecule: ribosomal RNA, 253 nt
Filed under: uncultured bacterium
Lineage: Bacteria
Description: partial 16S ribosomal RNA
Rfam family: Archaeal small subunit ribosomal RNA
Source: RNAcentral
UACCAGCACCCCGCGUGGUCGGGACGAUUAUUGGGCCUAAAGCAUCCGUAGCCGGCCUUACAAGUCCUCCGUUAAAUCCAGCUGCUUAACAGAUGGGCUGCGGAGGAUACUAUAAGACUAGGAGGCAGGAGAGGCAAGCGGUACUCAGUGGGUAGGGGUAAAAUCCGUUGAUCCAUUGAAGACCACCAGUGGCGAAGGCGGGUCUCUGGGCCGAUACUGACGCUGAGGAGCGAAAGCGUGGGGAGCGAACAGG